CCUACGGGUGGCAGCAGUGAGGAAUAUUGGUCAAUGGGCGCGAGCCUGAACCAGCCAAGUAGCGUGAAGGAUGACUGCCCUACGGGUUGUAAACUUCUUUUAUAAAGGAAUAAAGUGAGGCACGUGUGCCUUUUUGUAUGUACUUUAUGAAUAAGGAUCGGCUAACUCCGUGCCAGCAGCCGCGGUAAUAUGGAGGAUCCGAGCGUUAUCCGGAUUUAUUGGGUUUAAAGGGAGCGUAGAUGGGUUGUUAAGUCAGUUGUUAAAGUUUGCGGCUCAAACGGAAAAUUGCAAUUGAUACUGGCAGGCUGGAGUAAAGGUGAGGUAUGCGGGAUGCGGGGUGUAGCGGUGAAAUGCUUAGAUAUCACGAAGAACUCCGAUUGCGAAGGCAGCCUACUAAACUGCAACUGACAUUGAUGCUCGAAAGUGUGGGUAUCAAACAGGAUUAGAUACCCGAGUAGUC
RNAcentral lists this ribosomal RNA (460 nucleotides) under uncultured bacterium. RNAcentral describes it as "partial 16S ribosomal RNA". It matches the Rfam family "Bacterial small subunit ribosomal RNA", at positions 338 to 795 of the family's 1533-position model. The record is from RNAcentral.